CCAGACUCCUGCUCUUCCACCGAUUGGCUGGGUAUCAUCUUCGACCACCAGGGGGCCUCCGGUCCAGACCAGGACCACAGAGCGGACCUACACCGUCUCUGUUCUGGACCUGGAUGGGGAGGGGGACCGCGGCUUGGAGGAGGUGAUGAAGACCACCAAGAUCAUCAUCGGUUGCUUUGUGGCCAUCACGCUCAUGGCCGCCGUCUUGCUGGUCAUUUUCUACAAGAUGAGGAAGCAGAACCACCAGCAGGACCCCGAUGGCCCCGCCUCCUCAAUGGAGGUCAUCACAGUGGAGGAGGAGCUCGCCGGUGUCGCUGCCAUGGAGACCCACUUACACCUGCCUCCAUUGGAGCAUUACAACCAUUACAACACUUACAGGAGCACCUACCACCACUCCCACACACAGGAACCUUUACUGAUUCAAGCCAGCUCAAAAGACAAUGUGCAAGAGACCCAAAUUUGAUUGAGAUUCACUAGAGGAAUCCGAUAUCAGCUAUCUCAUACAGGAAGUAUCAUGGACAGAAGGGUAAGGAUUAGUGUGGGAAUGACUUGACACUGACUUGACUGAUGAUGUUAACGAUCAAAUGGAUCAACAUCUUUCAAAAUGUGUGUGCUAUUUGAAAAAGUGUCUUUACAAAACAGAAAUUAUUUAUUUAAAAAAUAUAUGUCUUGUGGCUAAAUCAAGAAAAACAAAUCUGAAUGAGCUUUUUAGCUCCAAUUUUAUUUCACCUCUGUGUGAUGUUGGGGGAAGAAUGGUUCACUGCAAACUCAUCUACUCAAAUGAAUUCUCUACAUUCAAACCAUGUUCGGAUCCUUUCCAAAUAUGAGUGCAGCAACAGAAUAGAUUAACACAGCUUCCAUUUGACGAUAGGGCCAUUUCAGAUGAAAAUAUAAUACUGCCUUGUUUGUGAAUUUUUAUCAAAAUGUUUGAAGGUCAUUAUAAUAUCCCAGAUGCCCUGGUGUUUUCCUAAUUCCUUUGGAUAUAUUCACAGCCCUCGCAUAUUAUCACAGCUACAUUACAUAAAACUGAUGAAGAGGGAGGAUCCUCAUAUUACACUGUACCCUUCCUGUCACUCAAAUUAGAUGACAUACAGAUGUUCCCAUGACUUGGCUGUUAAUGAAAUGAGCAAUGAGGCCAACAUGCCUCGGGAACCAGACGGCCAAAUGACUGAACAUGCAUUUUCCCGGCUCCUAAUCAACAACUAUACAUCCUUGACUUAAAUUAAGAUGAAGGUCUCUCUCCCCCCUCGCUCCCUCCCUCCUUCCCCUCUCCUAUCACACUCUCGCUCUCUUCUCUCUCUCCCUCCUCUCACACUGUAUCUCUUUCACUCUAUCACUCUCCACCUCCUACCUCCCCUCUCUCUUUUCUCCUCUCUCUCUCUCUCUCUCUCUCACUCUCAUUCUUCCAACCCCUCUCCUUCACCUCUCAUCCUACUCUCUCCCUCCCCUUUCUCCUUUGCUCAUCCUCCUCUCUUACACUCUCCUCUCUCUUCUCCUCUCUCUUUCUCUGGCACAUUCAUCUCUCCUCUCGACAUAUCUCAUUUGUCUCUCUUUAGACAUGGGGGGAAUGGCAGUGCAGCAGAAGAUGUGGGAGAAUGAAGGGGAGGCUCCACGGCCCUACGGUAAUGUGUUAAUGAUCUAGAUCAGCAGCACUGUCGCGUUACCUUGGUAUCACCCUAGGGUCACAGACGCUCGUGGGCUGAUAGCCCGUCUGUUAGUGCAGAUAAAGCUCGCAUGUAAUUCAGCGUGAUCCUGGUCGGCCAACACAGGGGGCUAACCGUCUGUACUGUCAGUCUGUAGUAAACAGGGAGGUGUAAUCGCUCAUUAAACUGCAUCAGCAGUCCAUUUGUAGGCUUCUAGAUGAGCUAGAGGAGAAGUUGAUACAGCAAACAGCUUGAAAACUCCAACCCGUAUCCCUUUACACAGCAGCUAAUGGAGAAGCUAGUCUUCUGAUUUCUGAGAGGUUCCUACUCUGAUCUUCUCGGCCAUGUUUGUCAGGGAAAAUACACAAGCCAAGGCCUUUUGAUGGCGCCUCUCUCAUCGUCUAUCUAUCACAACACAGGGUUGUCUUUUCUCUGCUCUGUUUACACGGUGCAUUUCAUUUGGUAGUUGAGUGAAGGAGGGAGGAAGGGAGGGAAAGAGGAAAGGAGGGAGGGGUUUGGCCCAUGAUGGCCAUGGGGGCAGAUAUUGAAGAUGUGACGCAAUAGCAGUGAAAAACAGAUAAGGAAUGAAGAGCGCAGAAAUAGCCGACGGACAGUCGCCAUGGAAACACGGACCUUGUGUGGAGCGUGAGGAGGAGCAGAUAUGCCAGGGCUGUUGUCCCGGAGCUAACAACUGCCGCUUAACUUUACAAUACAAUUCCGAAAAAUCCACUGUUAGAUUGCAGGCUAAAGUGUAUCGGUGAAUUACAGCGGCACGGAGUUAUGCUUCAGUUGUAUCCACUAAGUUAACACAACUGCAUUGACGGAGAGAAUGUUUGGUACGACAGGCAGCACUAUACCAAAGCAGCUACUUAGGGACACAUUUGGUUUGCAUCAUAGCAGGGCACAGCCAGUUGUCAUUAGCUGACAUGCAGUAAGCGGCCAUGACUGCUUGUGUCAUGCUUAUGACAAUACGAAGAUAAAGAAAGUCUCACACUCCAUAUUAUUCUCCCGACAAUUGAAUGGGUAAACAUGACCUUUUCAAUAUCAGGUGGUGCUGUGGCUCAGGCACCAGAGCAUGGCGCUCGCAACACACCAAGGUUCUAAGUUUGAUUCUCGCUGGUGCCACCCAUAUGUAAAAUGUAUGCAAGUCCCUUUGGAUAAAAGUGUCUGCUAAAUGGCAUAUAUUACUAUUGUGUUAGUAUCUCCAACUGGCAUCCAAAUAGACUGGAUUGACUCAAUACAGACAUUAGUGCUCAGUGUGAAAGUCAUAGGCAUUUGAUUUUUGGGUAUAUGAACCUGUUUUUAGUAUGUACUGAGCAUUACGCCAGUUGUUCAUAAUAAAGAAAUUGCAUAUACAGAAUCAUUCAUUCAGCACUUAAGCAUCCAUAUCCAUAAAACAUGUAUCUCUGACAAGGCCAUUCUGAUCUAUUCACUAGUUAUAUCUGUAUAUAACUUGUUGCUUGGAGUCGUCAAACAGCACAUGGAUACAGCAGCAGUAGAUUCUGUUCCUGUCCGGUCUGGUCCAGUCUCACAUGCAGGGGAUGUUCAUAUCAUCUAUAGCCAAGGUUGACCAUUCUUUCCCCAUCUAGUGAUUCCUUUUCAAUACUUUCAAUUCCUUUUCAAUGCUUUCAAUUCCUUUUCAAUGCUUUCAAUUCCUUUUCAAUGCUUUAGGUGGCUGAAUGCUUGACCUUUGACAGUAUAGUCUACAGCCAAUAAGGCUGUGAGAGAUUCAUUUCUAUGUGGAGCUGGUGAUUGGUUUAUUGUGUGUUGUUCUGCCAACUGUCCAUCUAUGGGAGGUUACAGUAUUGGGGGUUUUGUCCCUUCUCUCAUUUUCUGAGAGAAUGCUCCUCAAGUGGUACAUUUAUACGAGACGUAUUUUCAAAAUAACAUGCAAAAAAAAAAAAGAUUUUCACAUCAAAAUUUUACAUGUGCUUAUGGAUUCAAAUGUAAAGAGAGAGAAUGUGAGAGACUGAGGAGUCAAACGGGUGUCUCCAUUAGCAUCCUUCGCAUACCUCUCAAGGAAUACAGCGUACAUUUAUUGAUACCAGAGAUUGUAGUUCAUACAUAAACACCAAUAAAACAUUGCUGUUUUUCCAGUAUCUUGUGCAGUGC
This 3755-nucleotide long non-coding RNA is filed under the name Salmo salar (Atlantic salmon). Its description in RNAcentral is "lncRNA (ENSSSAG00000108836.1)". The stretch from base 2774 to 2827 matches the Rfam family "UnaL2 LINE 3' element". Lineage: Eukaryota; Metazoa; Chordata; Actinopteri; Salmoniformes; Salmonidae. The record is from RNAcentral.